RNAcentral lists this ribosomal RNA (382 nucleotides) under uncultured bacterium. RNAcentral's name for it is "bacterial SSU rRNA". It matches the Rfam family "Bacterial small subunit ribosomal RNA", at positions 775 to 1151 of the family's 1533-position model. The record is from RNAcentral.
AGUCAAUAGAUACCCCGGUAGUCCACGCCGUAAACGAUGAAUACUAGGUGUAGGGGUUGUCAUGACCUCUGUGCCGCCGCUAAACGCAAUUAAGUAUUCCGCCGUGGGGAGUACGGUCGCAAGAUUAAAACUCAAAGGAAUUGGACGGGGGCCCGCACAAGCAGCGGAGCAUGUGGUUUAAUUCGAAGCAACGCGAAGAACCUUACCUAGACUUGACAUCUCCUGAAUUACUCUGUAAUGGAGGAAGCCCUUCGGGCGAGGAAGACAGGUGGUGCAUGGUUGUCGUCAGCUCGUGUCGUGAGAUGUUGGUUAAGUCCCGCAACGAGCGCAACCCUUAUUAGUUAGUUGCUUACCAUUAAAGUUGAGCACUCUAGCGAGACUG